This 301-nucleotide ribosomal RNA is filed under the name uncultured bacterium. Its description in RNAcentral is "partial 16S ribosomal RNA". It matches the Rfam family "Bacterial small subunit ribosomal RNA", at positions 510 to 808 of the family's 1533-position model. The record is from RNAcentral.
AGUAGCCGCGGGAAUACGUAGGGUGCAAGCGUUAAUCGGAAUUACUGGGCGUAAAGCGUGCGCAGGCGGUUAUAUAAGUCAGAUGUGAAAUCCCCGGGCUCAACCUGGGAACUGCAUUUGUGACUGGCAAGCUAGAGUGUGGCAGAGGGAGGAGGAAUUCCGCGUGUAGCAGUGAAAUGCGUAGAGAUGCGGAGGGACACCGAUGGCGAAGGCAGCCUCCUGGGAUAACACUGACGCUCAUGCACGAAAGCGUGGGGAGCAAACAGGAUUAGAUACCCGCGUAGUCCCUGUCUCUUAUACA